GUGGCGCACGGGUGAGUAACGCGUGGAUAUCUGCCUUUUGGUUCGGAAUAACUCCGGGAAACUGGAGCUAAUACCGGAUGGUUCCUACGGGAUAAAGAUUUAUCGCCAAAAGAUGAGUCCGCGUACGAUUAGCUAGUUGGUGGGGUAAUGGCCCACCAAGGCGACGAUCGUUAGCUGGUCUGAGAGGACGAUCAGCCACACUGGGACUGAGACACGGCCCAGACUCCUACGGGAGGCAGCAGUGGGGAAUAUUGGACAAUGGGGGCAACCCUGAUCCAGCCAUGCCGCGUGAGUGAUGAAGGCCUUCGGGUUGUAAAGCUCUUUUGGCGGGGACGAUGAUGACGGUACCCGCAGAAUAAGCCCCGGCUAACUUCGUGCCAGCAGCCGCGGUAAGACGAAGGGGGCUAGCGUUGUUCGGAAUUACUGGGCGUAAAGCGAGUGUAGGUGGUUGUCAUAGUCAGGUGUGAAAGCCUUGAGCUCAACUCAAGAAAUGCACUUGAUACUGGGCGACUAGAGGACCGGAGAGGAUAGUGGAAUUCCCAGUGUAGUGGUGGAAUGCGCAGAUAUCAGGAGGAACACCGAUGGCGAAGGCAGAUCUCUGGGCCGUAACUGACGCUGAGGAGCGAAAGGGUGGGGAGCAAACAGGCUUAGAUACCCUGGUAGUCCAC
Molecule: ribosomal RNA, 668 nt
Filed under: uncultured Alphaproteobacteria bacterium
Lineage: Bacteria; Pseudomonadati; Pseudomonadota; Alphaproteobacteria
Description: bacterial SSU rRNA
Rfam family: Bacterial small subunit ribosomal RNA
Source: RNAcentral